This 405-nucleotide ribosomal RNA is filed under the name Ectocarpus crouaniorum. RNAcentral describes it as "eukaryotic LSU rRNA". It matches the Rfam family "Eukaryotic large subunit ribosomal RNA", at positions 1 to 407 of the family's 3401-position model. The record is from RNAcentral. Lineage: Eukaryota; Phaeophyceae; Ectocarpales; Ectocarpaceae.
CGGACCUCCGAUCAAGCAAGAGGACUCGCUGAAUUUAAGCAUAUAACUAAGCGGAGGAAAAGAAACUAACCAGGAUUCCCCCAGUAACGGCGAGUGAAGCGGGAAGAGCUCACGUUGUAAAUCUGACUUCGGUCCGAAUUGUAGUCUGGAGAGGCGUGACCAGCUGGAGACGGGGGCGAAGUCUCUUGGAAAAGAGCAUCAAGGAGGGUGACAAUCCCGUUCUUGCCCCCGCCUUCCACGCGUACGGUCCGUUUUCUACGAGUCGAGUUGCUUGGGAUUGCAGCUCAAAGCGGGUGGUAAAUUCCAUCUAAAGCUAAACACGGGUGGGAGACCGAUAGCGAACAAGUACCGUGAGGGAAAGAUGCAAAGAACUUUGAAAAGAGAGUUAAAGAGUGCCUGAAAUUG